UACGGAGGGUGCGAGCGUUGUCCGGAAUCAUUGGGCGUAAAGGGCUCGUAGGCGGCCAACUAAGUCAGACGUGAAAUCCCCAGGCUUAACCUGGGAACUGCGUCUGAUACUGGAUGGCUUGAAUCCGGGAGAGGGAUGCAGAAUUCCAGGUGUAGCGGUGAAAUGCGUAGAUAUCUGGAGGAAUACCGGUGGCGAAGGCGGCAUCCUGGACCGGCAUUGACGCUGAGGAGCGAAAGCUAGGGGAGCAAACGGG
RNAcentral lists this ribosomal RNA (253 nucleotides) under uncultured bacterium. RNAcentral describes it as "partial 16S ribosomal RNA". It matches the Rfam family "Bacterial small subunit ribosomal RNA", at positions 524 to 776 of the family's 1533-position model. The record is from RNAcentral.